Long non-coding RNA from Oncorhynchus keta (chum salmon), 260 nucleotides. RefSeq lists it as uncharacterized. Lineage: Eukaryota; Metazoa; Chordata; Actinopteri; Salmoniformes; Salmonidae. The transcript is spliced from 3 exons. The record is from RefSeq and is a predicted model, not a curated record.
AAGCUGGGCUGGUCCCCUGUAACCUCUAGGUGAGGAAGCUGGGCUGGUCCCCUGUAACGUGUCUGUGUGUAACCUCUAGGUGAGGAAGCUGGGCUGGUCCCCUGUAACCUCUAGGUGAGGAAGCUGGGCUGGUCCCUUGUAACCUCUAGGUGAGGAAGCUGGGCUGGUCCCCUGUAACCUCUAUCUGAGGAAGCUGGGCUGGUCCCCUGUAACGUGUCUGUGUGUAACCUCUAGGUGAGGAAGCUGGGCUGGUCCCCUGU